AAUGAACGCUGGCGGCGUGCCUAACACAUGCAAGUCGAACGAGAAACUCCGGGCUUGCUCGGGGGAGUAAAGUGGCGCACGGGUGAGUAACGCGUGGGUAACCUGCCCUUGAAUUCGGGAUAACUUCGCGAAAGCGUAGCUAAUACCGGAUGCCGUCUCAGAAGCUGUGGCUUUUGGGAUGAAAGGUGACCUCUUCAUGAAAGUUGCCGUUCAAGGAGGGGCUCGCGUACCAUUAGCUUGUUGGUGGGGUAAUGGCCUACCAAGGCUUCGAUGGUUAGCUGGUCUGAGAGGAUGACCAGCCACACUGGAACUGAAACACGGUCCAGACUCCUACGGGUGGCAG
Molecule: ribosomal RNA, 343 nt
Filed under: uncultured Pseudomonadota bacterium
Lineage: Bacteria; Pseudomonadati; Pseudomonadota
Description: bacterial SSU rRNA
Rfam family: Bacterial small subunit ribosomal RNA
Source: RNAcentral